Molecule: ribosomal RNA, 305 nt
Filed under: uncultured bacterium
Lineage: Bacteria
Description: bacterial SSU rRNA
Rfam family: Bacterial small subunit ribosomal RNA
Source: RNAcentral
GUUACCCUACGGGGCGCAGCAGUGGGGAAUAUUGCACAAUGGGGGAAACCCUGAUGCAGCGACGCCGCGUGAGUGAAGAAGUAUCUCGGUACGUAAAGCUCUAUCAGCAGGGAAGAAAAAAAGUCCUUUGGACUUUGGACGGUACCUGACCAAGAAGCCCCGGCUAACUACGUGCCAGCAGCCGCGGUAAUACGUAGGGGGCAAGCGUUAUCCGGAUUUACUGGGUGUAAAGGGAGCGUAGACGGCAGCGCAAGUCUGGAGUGAAAUGCCGGGGCCCAACCCCGGAACUGCUUUGGAAACUGUGC